This is a non-coding RNA of Cordylochernes scorpioides, 74 nucleotides long. The record is from the annotation of a GenBank genome assembly. NCBI's taxonomy places the organism in Eukaryota, Metazoa, Arthropoda, Arachnida, Pseudoscorpiones, Chernetidae.
UACCACGACUCCGCCAGGAUUCGAACCUGGGAUAUUCUGAUCCAUAAACAGACUGUUUACCGAUGUACCGCGGC